UCGCUGACGAGUGGCGGACGGGUGAGUAAUGUCUGGGAAACUGCCUGAUGGAGGGGGAUAACUACUGGAAACGGUAGCUAAUACCGCAUAACGUCGCAAGACCAAAGAGGGGGACCUUCGGGCCUCUUGCCAUCGGAUGUGCCCAGAUGGGAUUAGCUUGUUGGUGGGGUAACGGCUCACCAAGGCGACGAUCCCUAGCUGGUCUGAGAGGAUGACCAGCCACACUGGAACUGAGACACGGUCCAGACUCCUACGGGAGGCAGCAGUGGGGAAUAUUGCACAAUGGGCGCAAGCCUGAUGCAGCCAUGCCGCGUGUAUGAAGAAGGCCUUCGGGUUGUAAAGUACUUUCAGCGGGGAGGAAGGGAGUAAAGUUAAUACCUUUGCUCAUUGACGUUACCCGCAGAAGAAGCACCGGCUAACUCCGUGCCAGCAGCCGCGGCAAUACGGAGGGUGCAAGCGUUAAUCGGAAUUACUGGGCGUAAAGCGCA
RNAcentral lists this ribosomal RNA (488 nucleotides) under Escherichia coli. RNAcentral describes it as "bacterial SSU rRNA". It matches the Rfam family "Bacterial small subunit ribosomal RNA", at positions 85 to 569 of the family's 1533-position model. The record is from RNAcentral. Lineage: Bacteria; Pseudomonadati; Pseudomonadota; Gammaproteobacteria; Enterobacterales; Enterobacteriaceae.